UGGGGAAUAUUGCACAAUGGGGGAAACCCUGAUGCAGCGACGCCGCGUGGAGGAAGAAGGCCUUCGGGUUGUAAACUCCUGUCGUAAGGGACGAUAGUGACGGUACCUUACAAGAAAGCCACGGCUAACUACGUGCCAGCAGCCGCGGUAAAACGUAGGUGGCAAGCGUUGUCCGGAAUUACUGGGUGUAAAGGGAGCGCAGGCGGGUCUGCAAGUUGGAAGUGAAACUCAUGGGCUCAACCCAUGAACUGCUUUCAAAACUGCGGAUCUUGAGUGGUGUAGAGGUAGGCGGAAUUCCCGGUGUAGCGGUGGAAUGCGUAGAUAUCGGGAGGAACACCAGUGGCGAAGGCGGCCUACUGGGCACUAACUGACGCUGAGGCUCGAAAGCAUGGGUAGCAAA
This 400-nucleotide ribosomal RNA is filed under the name uncultured bacterium. RNAcentral's name for it is "bacterial SSU rRNA". It matches the Rfam family "Bacterial small subunit ribosomal RNA", at positions 355 to 772 of the family's 1533-position model. The record is from RNAcentral.